UCAUGUCUUGCCGCCUUUCUAGAACAGGCCGCUGCUAUUACGCUGUAGCUAAGUCUUAGAGGGGAGAAAAGACACAUAGUAAAGGGAGAGAAGAAAAGAAAGUGUUGUAUGCGCUCCGGACCGCCGCGGUGUGUUGUGUGCACAGCUCAUCGGGAGUAUUGUCUGUACAAGUGCAUCAUCAGUGCUGUGACUCUCCUACAAUCUCAUCCUAAGCACUGGGGCUGCAAAUAUCAAGGGCGUUGCAAACGAGCACAGAGCUUCGCAGGUCAGACUGACGGUGUCAGCUGGAAGCAGUGUUAUGGAACAGGAGAAAUAUUUGCCGGAGCUGAUGGCAGAGAAAGAUACCCUGGAUACAUCUUUUGUUCAUGCAAUGCGCCUCUUGGCUGAAGAGAUAGAGAAAUUUCAUGAGUCUGCGGGGAAGAAAGAAGAUGAGGAAAAGAAAUAUCUUGACAUAAUCGGCAACAAAAACAUAAAAUUAUCAGAAAAAGUCUUGAUACCAGUUAAACAGUAUCCAAAGUUUAAUUUUGUGGGGAAGUUACUUGGACCAAGAGGAAACUCUUUAAAGCGAUUACAAGAAGAAACUGGUGCAAAAAUGUCUAUCUUGGGAAAGGGUUCAAUGAGAGACAAGACAAAGGAAGAAGAAUUAAGGAACGGCGGAGAGGCAAAGUAUGCACACUUGAGUGAUGAUCUUCAUGUAUUAAUUGAAGUAUUUGCUCCACCAGGAGAAGCAUAUUCACGUAUGAGUCAUGCUUUGGAAGAGAUUAAAAAAUUCCUUGUUCCAGAUUAUAAUGAUGAAAUUCGACAAGAGCAAUUACGAGAGCUAUCCUAUUUAAAUGGUUCUGAAGAAUCCAGUCAGGGAAAAGUAACAAGAGGUAGAGGAUUAAGAAUAGUUCCUGCUACAACUGCCAGGAGUCGAGGAGGUGUAAUUCCCCCUCCUCUGCCUGGACGAGGCACACCAGUACCCAGAGGUUCACCUGUAUCACGUGGGGCAGUACCACUUCCACCUGCCACCCGUGGGAUUCCUGCAGCACGGGCAAGAGGAGCUCCAACUGUAUCAGGCUAUCGUGCUUCUCCCCCAACACUUGAGCCCUAUGAUGAUUAUGGUUAUGAUGAUGGAUUUGGAGAUGAUUUUGAUGACCAGAAUUAUGAGGAUUAUGAAGACAGCUACACAGUGCAACCACAGAGUGUACCAGAAUAUUAUGACUAUGGACAUGGGACAAAUGAGGAAAACUAUAACAAUUAUGUUUUAGGCCAGGAAGAAUGGUCCUCAUCGCGACCUAACUUAAAGGCACCACUUCAAAGAACAACUAGAGGAGGCUAUCGAGAGCAUCCGUAUGAUACUAUGUUUAGUCAAGAGCUGAUUAUCUAAAUUAGAGAUAAACGUUUAAAUAAAGCUCAUACAUACAUUCCUAAAAGAAUACUGGACUGAACAAGUUACAGAAGUCUUAACUAUUCCAGUGCCAAUGUUGGAGAUUAGAAGUCUUAAUUAUUCCAGUCGGAUGUUGGAGAACAGACCAUUUCGCUUGUAUGUUUCGGAUGCUGUACAACUUGACAUUAGGAAUGACGAUAUAACUGCAGAGACCAAGGAAGACACAUUUUCUCCUUUAAGGAGAACUUUGCCCCAUCUAUUCGAGUUGAAAUGGGAAAAGUGGCAUUCACCGAUGUGAUCCAUCAGCUAUCAUCUGUAGAGGAGGGUAAUAUAAACUCCCAAAAUCUAUGAUACUGUCCUAUGAUUAACUGACCAUUUAAGUGAAAUCUAACAAAUUAGCACACUGGUAACUUCUGAAACAACUCCUCCUCCAAGGCAGAGUGCACAGACCAAGGAUCAGAGGAAAUGGGCACAAAAGAGAUCCUAGGGGCAAGCCACCUUAUAAAAGGCAAAACCAACAUAUCUUGAUACAUUCUUUUGCAUUGCUACAUUUAAAACAAAUUAGAUUUAAUGUUCAACAUUGCAAAUUCAUCUUUCUUCUCUAUCUGUUAUAUUGCACUGCAGGAUAUAUUCGUUAAAGCAGGAUUAAUACUUAUUAUUGCAGUUUUAGCUGAGCACAAAAGAAAAAGAAAAUUUUGUAAAUUCAUUUGUUUAUAUUCCAUCGCCUUAAGUUGCAUCAGUGUAAAGUGCUUUAACUUAAGUUAUGCAAUGGCUCCGUAGAGGUGACAAUCUAAUUUAAAUACACAUACAAUGUUAAUGGUUACAGAGCCAUAUGCCAUAGUACACUCUACUCUAAUGAGCAUUGUUCUAAAAUAAAUGUUAUUUUGUAAAACUAGAAAUCAUGUAAUGUCAUUUUCAAUGAGUCUCUGUCUGACCCGCCUUCCUCUGUAUUCUCCACAUCAGCAGAUGGUUUAAGGACCUCUAAUUUAUCACUGUCUACUACUACAGACACAUUUUUAUUUUGAUGUACUUAAAGCAGUAUUGUGUAGUAUGGUAUAAAAGAAGCAACUGUCACCCAUCUUUGCAGUGGCAUAGAGGAAUUCACCACCUUAAUAAUCUGGGCACAUUCAAUUACUCCCCUAAUGGUUAUAUGUGCCUUUUUACAUUAGUGUUAAGCAGGACUUUAUGAAGUCACAAGAAGCAUCAUUAGCCAGGACUGAUACUCAUAGCCUGGAAUAUUUCAAAUUACACACAUCAUAUGUGGUUUAUGUAGCAGACAUGCAUUGCAGUUAGCAUAUGUGAGGCAUAUUCAACAAUACAAAACUGUAACAUACAGUAUCUCAGGAUAGCCAGCUACAAUUUGUAUAUUAUAUUCAUGUUAGCAUCACAGAAUCCUGCACAUUCAAAGAGUGAUAGUAAUGACAGUUGUGUUUAUACCUGUGCACUGAGUGGAGGUGGUCUCGAGCCAAUAUAUGUGCAAUCUAUAGCAGCCAAGAGAUAGGAAGAUUAUUAUUAUUGUUAUUAUUAUUAUUAUUAUUAUCAUCAUCAUUUAUAUGUAUGGUGCCUCAAGGGUUCCACAGCGCCUAACAAAGUACAUAAAUAAAUGAGGAAAACAAUGACAUACAGUACAAGACAAUGUAGGACAAAUACAUGGUAUAUUAGCAUUGCUGCAUCAGGGGACAAGUUAUUAAUAAUCAUCAGGGUGACAGGUACCAAGGGUUAAGUUCCAUUGGAGUAGAUGAUAGUCUAAAAGAGGGAAAAGCACAUGAGGGGAGAGAUCCCUGCUCAUGAGAGCUUACAUUGUGAAGGGAAGGGGAAGACAGACACGGGUGACACAUAUGGGGUAGAAGUGAGCAUAUACCAGAGGGUAAGGAUGAGGGAUGGGCUAGAAAUGAGCAUGCAGAGGGUUAGGAUUACAGAUGGCUGGAUUUGAUGAAGUAUUGGAUCUUGAGAGCCCAUUUUAAGUUUUGUAGAUAGGUGAAGAGUCUGAUGUAAGGAGAUGUAGAGAAUUCCAGAGGUAGGGAGCACCACAGCCAAAUAUUGGAUGCUGGAAUAGGAGGAAGUAAUCAGUAGGCAGGAGAGGCAGCAUGAAGUUGUGGAGCGAAGAGGGCAGGUGGAAGUGGAAGGGGAGAUAGGGUCAUAUAUGUAAAUGGGAGAGGAAUAGUUGAUAGCUUUGUAAGUGAAUUUGAGAAGCUUGAAUUGGAUUCAGAAGGGGAAGAGGAGCUAGUGUAGGGCUUGUAAGAGAGGGAAAGUGGAUGCUACAUAGUACGGGUGGAGAGGAAGAUGUGCCAGGCAGUAGCAUUAAGGAUAAAGUAAAGUGGAGAGAGGCAUUUUUGAGGGAUGCCAGAUAGGAGGAGAUUGCAGUAGUCCAAUCUGGAGAUGACCAGUGAGUGGAUGAGGGUCUUAGUAGCAUCCAGGGUGAGAAAGGGUCUGAUCCUGCAAGAGGUACUCAAUGUACCUCAUGACUAGUGAAAUAGUACU
Molecule: RNA transcript, 3850 nt
Organism: Pseudophryne corroboree (corroboree frog)
Lineage: Eukaryota; Metazoa; Chordata; Amphibia; Anura; Myobatrachidae
Gene: KHDRBS2
Gene name: KH RNA binding domain containing, signal transduction associated 2
Exons: 12
Source: RefSeq, a predicted model, not a curated record